GGAAAUUCUACUUUUCAUUUUGUAAAAAAAGAAAAACAAUUCUACAAAGUUUUGUUAGGCGUGUGACAGAUCAUUUUUCUCUCUCUCUGAUGUAACAAAUGGAAAGUUCUCUUAACGUCAGCAUACCUGUUUUCAUUGGCACAGACUGAGGCCUAUCAGAGGAGGAGACUUGGCUGAUUUCCACAUUGAAAUUCUACCUUCUGUACAAGCACUGUAGGAGUGGCGUUGAGGCAAAGAUAAUCUGGCAAAUGAUCAAGAAUCUCAAGUGUCAACAAACCAGAUUUUUCUUAGUUGAGCAGAGCUGAUGGCAGUGAAACACUGAAGACAUUUCUGAUUUCGCUUUGUGAUGUCGGAGGAGAAGCUGAAGUCCAGACAACACCAGAGGGUUUUCUGGCCGUGCCAAAAUGAGGCCCUGUGAUGGAUGCCAUCUUGGAAGCAUCACAGAUCAGCACAUACCAGAGACUGGAGCGACCAGCUGCUCUAGUUUCACAGAGCGCCUCAUCAGUGCAGACUUCAGCCAUUACCACAAACCUACAAAUGAUGACCUGCAGAUGGAUGCGGUGGAGUUUUCCACGAUUCUUUAUCUGCUGAUGAAUCACAACCUAGACCUGAUAAACUUUAACUUGGAGAAUAAAAUCGUCAAAAAUGCUUGCGUGAGAACCAACAGUAAAGGGCUGGACGUAAAAUUCUAGACUCCACCCUCAGCAUUAAAGUCAUGACAUUAUCAGCUGGAGAAUAGUCACGAAUCCUAGAAAGGUGUUCCCUCGAUGGAAAACCUUGGAUCCAAAAUGAAGUUAUUGGACCACAAUUCUUCCAACUAACCUGCCUUGAAGUCAUGUUAAUGAUUCAAAGCUCUUCAAACUUUGAAGAUCAUUAUUUAAAUCACGUCAGAAAGUGAGGACUGCUGUUGAACCUUAUUUUCCAAGGUGCCUUCAGAGCAGAUGGAUUGAUUUAGCACAGGUUUUAUGCUGGACCACAACCCAAACUCAGCUGAAACAGUUCAAAUUUAACUGUGGGAUUCUCUCUUCUGCAUAUGUCUUUAGGUGUAAGUCAUUGCUACACCUUACAGUACGAAUGGCAUCCCGGUGUGUUAUGUAGCAUUGUAUAGUCUCAACAUUAAAGCUUUUUAAGGGUCUGUACAGAUACAACUGGAAUCAAGUGUAGGUAACUUCUAGUUUGCUAAAGCCCCCAUGUUAACAAUUUGUAUUGUAGUUAUGACUUCUGUCACAUAUGUAAAGAGCAACAGAGACAGAGUGUGCCGGUGAAAAUCUGGGACAUCUCUUCCCCGAAAAGCACCAGCUGUGCUUGUAGUCGACUGGUUUUGUCUUCACUUUACACUUUUGCUCAUGUUAACAGAUUCCACAAACAUUUAAACAAACCUGGGGGGCGGGGGUGGGUUAUUUCCAUUAACAGCCGGCUGCUGUUGGUUUUCUCAAAAACAAGGGACUUUUUUGGGGAUGACUUUCAGUGGUCGAAUAAUCCGCAUUUUUU
This is a long non-coding RNA of Astatotilapia calliptera (eastern happy), 1491 nucleotides long. Lineage: Eukaryota; Metazoa; Chordata; Actinopteri; Cichliformes; Cichlidae. The record is from Ensembl.